RNAcentral lists this ribosomal RNA (253 nucleotides) under uncultured bacterium. RNAcentral describes it as "partial 16S ribosomal RNA". It matches the Rfam family "Bacterial small subunit ribosomal RNA", at positions 524 to 776 of the family's 1533-position model. The record is from RNAcentral.
UACAUGUGGGGCAAGCGUUGUUCGGAAUUACUGGGCAUAAAGGGUGCGUAGGUGGCUUGUUAAGUCAGGGGUGAAAGUUUUCGGCCCAGCCGGAAAAUGGCCUUUGAUACUGGCGAGCUUGAGUGCGUGAGGGGUAACCGGAACGAGCAGUGUAGCGGUGAAAUGCGUAGAUAUUGCUCGGAAGGCCAACGGCGAAGGCGACUUACUGGACACAUAUUGACGCUGAGGUGCGAAAGCGUGGGGAGCAAACAGG